Molecule: long non-coding RNA, 1991 nt
Filed under: Homo sapiens (human)
Lineage: Eukaryota; Metazoa; Chordata; Mammalia; Primates; Hominidae
Description: HSALNT0251244
Source: RNAcentral
GGACACUGAAGUUGGCGGAUGGUAAAGGAGGAGGUGGGAAAAACAUCUUUUAUGAAACAAACAUUAAAUUACUAGAAAAAAAAAUCACUUAAAUUCACCAGGAAGGGUAACAGCUGUGAGUUUAUCCUUCCUGCAGCUCUGUCUCUCACAGCUGAUAUUGCUGAGGUGUCAUGAGCCUAAGAUGACCCUGAAUGAGUGACACCCUGAAUGAGUCUCCUCCCCUUGAGUGCAGAAGGAACCUGUGACUCGCUUCCAGCCUACGGACAUGACUUUACAUUGCAUAAGACUCUAUCUUUUUUUUUUUUUUUGAAAUGGAGUCUCGCUCUGUCGCUCAGGCUGGAGUGCCUGGUGUGAUCUCUGCUCAAGCCUCAGCCUCCCGAGUAGCUGAGAUUGCAGGCACAUGCCACCAUGCCUGGGCAAUUUUUUGUAUUUUUACAAAAAUAUAAAAGAAAUGGGGUUUCACCAUGUUGGCCAGGCUAGUCUUGAACUCCUGACUUCAAGUGGUCCACCCGCCUUGGCCUCCCAAAGUGCUGGAACUGCAGGCGUGAACCACUACGGCCCAGCCCAUAAGACUCUAUCUUAGCAGACAGGAGGAGGCGACACCCUCCUGCUGGCCUGGAGGAAGUGAGCUGCCUGCUGUGACAGAGUGGCCUGUAGGCAUCGAAAGUGGCCCCCGGCAUACAGCAGGCAAAAAAACAGAAACCUCUGUCCCACAAUGGGAAGUAACUGAAUUCUGCCAACAACGAUGUAAGCGAACCCUGAGCUUCAGGAAGGAAUGCAGUCUGGCAGACGCUUGAUUGCAGCCUCGUGAGAUCCUAAGCAGAUGACCCAGCUGAGCUGCACCUGGACUCCUGACCCGCGAAAACCCGAGAUAAUCAACACGUGUUGCUGAGAGAUGGCAGGCAAGCAGCUGCAGCCAUUCUUAACCCUGGCUACAUUAGGAUCACCUGAGGAACUUCUAAACCUCCAGACUAAGUCUGCCAUUAUCUCUGGAGGGAGACCCAGGCAUCAGUAUUUUUUAAAGCCCACCAAGUAAUUCCAGCAGGCAGUCACUGAACUACAGUGACCAGUGACAAACUGCCUUGGUUUACCCAGGGCUGGGGAGCUUCCAGGGACAUGGGACUUUCAUUGCUAAAGCUGGAAAAGUCCUGGCCAAACCAAGACACACUCCUCUCUGAUGCAACCUGACCCUUUUCAACAGCUGUACUUUGGAACAUUUGACUCACUUGAUCUGGAGGUGCAUGGGGACUCGGUUUCUCUGCCAUCCUUGCUCCCUGGGUGGAUUUGGUCCAUGAAACCCCAGGUGGAUUUGCUCCAUUCUGGAGAGGUCCAUGAAAACACUCCCUCACCGCCUAACUUCCAGGACCUAUAUCUCCUUCAUAUCUGGCCAACAGGAAUCUUCUCACCACUGCAAUGGGGCACCAAAAUAAAACCCCAGAAAACUGCACCCCCACCAAUUAGCAAGAGUUUCUCUUUCCAUCAGUUACCUGGCUGAACUGAGAUUCUCUCUGUUUGAUUGAAGGUAUUCCCACAGGCUUCCUCAUUAAACCAGUGGUUCUCACACUUCAGUGUGCAUCAGAAUCACCCGGAAGACUUGUUAAAACACACAUUCCCAGGCCUAGGCCCCAGAGUUUCUGAUUCUGUGCAUCGGCAGCAGGGCCUAAUAAUUUCUAUUUCUAACAAGCUCCCAGGGGACACUGGGAUGUGGCUGGUUUGGUGACCACACUUGGAGAACCACUGCAUUAACAGAAAGAAACCACAGCAGUACAGUGUAGCUUCUCUCCAGAAUAAAGGGAUUUUAAAAUUCACAUUAAGGAUGGAGCUGGAGGUCAUUAUCCUAAGCAAACUAACACAGGAACAGAAAACCAAGUACUGCAUGUUCUCAUGUUCUCACUUAUAAGUGGGAGCUAAAUGUUGAGUACUUGUGGACACAAAGAAGGCCACAGACACCAGGGCCUACUUGAGGGUUGGAGGGUGGGAGGAGGGUGAAG